GGCGUGCCUAUACAUGCAGUCGAACGCUUCUUUUUCCACCGGAUCUUGCUCCACCGGAAAAAGAGGAGUGGCGAACGGGUGAGUAACACGUGAGGUAACCUGCCCAUCAUGAAGGGGAUAACACUUGGAAACAGGUGCUAAUACCGUAUAACAAUCUAAACCGCAUGGUUUUGAUUUGAAAGGCGCUUUCGGGUGUCGCUGAUGGAUGGACCCGCGGUGCAUUAGCUACUUGGUGAGGUAACGGCUCGGCAAGGCCACGAUGCAUAACCGACCUGAGAGGGUGAUCAGCCACAUUGGGACUGAGACACGGCCCAAACUCCUACGGGAGGCAACAGUAGGGAAUCGUCGGCAAUGGACGACACUCUGACCGAGCCACGCCGCGUGAGUGAAAAACGUUUUCCAAUA
Molecule: ribosomal RNA, 405 nt
Filed under: Enterococcus faecium
Lineage: Bacteria; Bacillati; Bacillota; Bacilli; Lactobacillales; Enterococcaceae
Description: bacterial SSU rRNA
Rfam family: Bacterial small subunit ribosomal RNA
Source: RNAcentral